CUUCACUUUGUCUAACCAGACACUUCUCCGGGCGGAAGUUCAAUAACGGAAGCGGAAGUGAGCACGCCGUAGACUGUGGGUCUGAAAUCUGGUUGACGCAGUCUGCGGCCACUGCUGAGCUUUGGGUAGGCCAGGCUGGGGAAUCGGCCCUGGAUCUCUGCUGUCGCAUCUCCCUACCCCAGACUCCUUCCAGCAUCAAGUCCACUAUCCUCGCCGUGGCCACGCCCCUCCGCAUCCUGGCUUCUCUGCGUCCUGGCUGUUCCUCCCUGGGUGGAGGGGAGAGGCAGCCAUCCACUUGCAGGUGGAGCGGGGUGGAGACUCUUCCUGAGCCCAGCUGCAGGACACUGAGGACCAGCGAGAUUCAUAGGACCCAAUUAUGGGUGUAAGAGGUUUGCAGGGGUUUGUGGGGAGUACGUGCCCACACAUAUGUACCAUAGUCAAUAUCCACGAGCUGGCAGAGCGUCACCGAAACAAGUACCCUGGAUGUACGCCUACCAUCGUGGUGGACGCCAUGUGCUGUCUCCGAUACUGGUACACAGCAGAGUCGUGGGUCUGCGGCGGCCAGUGGAGAGAAUACUACUGUGCUUUGAGAAAUUUUGUUGCAGCCUUCACCUCUGCCGGCAUCAAGUUGAUAUUCUUCUUUGAUGGCAUGGUGGAGCCGGGGAAGCGAGAUGAGUGGGUAAAGCGUAGACUCAAAAACAACCGGGAGAUAUCCAAGAUUUUUCACUACAUCAAGUCAAAAAGAGACCAGCCAGGCAGAAACAUGUUCUUCAUUCCCUCUGGGCUGGCCAUAUUCACACGGUUCGCCCUGAAGACACUGGGCCAGGAGACUUUCUGUUCAUUACAGGAGGCAGACUACGAGGUGGCUUCUUAUGGCCUCCAGCACAACUGUCUGGGGAUCCUUGGGGAAGACACUGACUACUUAAUUUAUGACACUUGCCCCUACUUUUCAAUUGGCGAUCUCUGCCUAGAGAGUCUCCAAACCAUCAUGCUCUGUCGAGAGAAGCUCUGUGAGAGCCUGGGCCUCCGUGUGGCAGACCUUCCUCUUCUGGCCUGUCUGCUUGGCAAUGACAUCACUCCAGAGAGCAUGUUUGAAAGCUUUCGGUACAAGUGCUUGUCAUCCUAUGCUUCUGUGAAAGAGAAUGCUGGCAAAAAAGGAAAUAUUAUCCUAGCUGUCUCAGACUAUAUCUCCAAAGUUCUUCAUUUGUAUCAAGGUGAGAAGAAGAUAGAAGAGAUGCUACCCUUGGGGCCAAACAAAGCUCUCUUUUAUAAAGGAGUAACCUCAUAUCUUUUGCCAGGGCAGAAAUCUCCAUGGUUAGUUCAAAAACCCAAAGGCAUGAUAACAGACAAACAGCAAAUGGUGAGUUUAAAUCCCGAAUCCAAGCAAGAAGUCCCUAUGUGUAUUGAUCCUGAAUUCAAGCAAGAAGUUCCUGUGUGCACUAAUCCCGAGUCCAUGCAAGAAGUUCCCAUGUGUAUGGAUCCUGAGCCCAACCAGGAAGCUUCCAUGUGCACAGAUCCCGAAUCCAAACAAGAAGUUCCCAUGUGCACAGACUCCGAAUCCAAGCCAGAAGUUUCCCAAUAUACAAACCCAGAGAGCAAGCAAAAAUUACCUUCAGGAAUAGACACUGAAUUUAACCUAGAAGCACUCAUGUGUACACACCCUGAAUUUAAACAAGAAGAUGUCAUGGAUAUGGAACCUGAAAUAAAGCAAGUAACCAUGGUUUCCGAGUCUGAGAUCUUAAAGGCAAGUGACUGUGCCUCCCCCACCUCGGUCCACAAUGUCGUGAUUGAAAGCGUACCUACUAACGGGUUUGAUCGUGAGAAGAGGACUGUAGGAGGAUGCAGACGAGAAACCUCUUGAGUCUAGUUAGGGAUUUAUGAAACCAUUUCAUAGGUACAUCUGAUACUGCCUUGUGAAUAGGAUGGGAAAGAGCUGUAGGAUUCUAGGAGAGACUGUUAAGGGUUAAAGUGUAAAGAGAAGGCUUCCCCCAUGGAGUCAGGCCCUUGGGAGGACAACAUUUGCUUUGAAUAAGUCAAAUGUGGGGUUGUAGGAACCCUACAGAUGCAGUGAUUAAAAUUAGUGUCACUGUGAGGCAUACUGGUAAACUAUCCAGGCAGGAGCCUAGGGAUCAAGGAGAGGGAAACCUGGAAACAAUAUGGUGCAGCCACACUCUAAAAGCUGUAAAUGCUAGGAGCUUGGGCGACUGUAAGUUAACAUUACAUAAGUAUCAAAGAGCGCAGUUUCACACUAGACUCGGGCUUUAUCUUUUUCUCAGUCGACUCUUACAACAGCCCUGUGAAAUAGGUACUUUUGUAGUCAUGCCUAACUCUGCCAUCAUGGCUUCACUCAUGCUAAGCAUAUGCUUAACCCUUGAGCCGGAUCCACAGUCCUGUUAUCUUGGUCAUACAGAUAAGGUAGAUAUCCACAGGAGUGGCCAGAAAACAAAACCAAACAACAAAAAAGUCAGAAGUGAAAGAGGGAAUUAAAAAUUAGAAGUGGGGCUGGAAAGAUGGUUCAGUGGUUAAAAGCACUGGCUACUCUUCCAGAGGACCUGUGUUCAAUUCCCAGCACCUGUAGCAGCUCACAAGUCUCUGUAACUCCAGUUCCACCUGUGCACAUGAAAAAAAUAAAUACAUUUUCAAAAAAAAUUAGAAGUAAUUUUGCUGUUAAAAAAUAUCACCGAGAAAUCCAUGAACAUUUAUAUUGGAGAUUGCAUUAAAAGUGUUUCUCAUUCUUUUCUUUGUUUUUUUUAUUUGUUUGUUUGUUUUGUUUGUUUUGUUUUGUUUUGUUUUUUUAAGACAGGGCCUCUCUAUGUAGCCCUGCCUGUCCUGGAACUUACUCCAUAGACCAGGCUAACUAACCUUGAACUCACAGAGAUCUGCCUGCCUCUGCCUCCCGAGUGCUGAGAUUAAAAGUGUGCACCACCACCAUUCAGGCUGGCUUCUCAUUUUCAAGGGAAAGGCACACCAAUUGGUUGCUCAGUGCCAAAUGGUCUCCCUGAAAACAUACAUGUUGCCAGGAUGCAUCACGUCCACUCAGAAAGCUACCUAGUGUACAACAUUCUGAGCAGUGGGGAGAUAGAAUGCAGUAACACCCUGGAGGAUGAGCUGGACCAAGCCCUCCCGAGCCAAGCCUUUAUCUACCGCCCAGUCCGGCAGCGCGUCUACGCACUCCUACUCGGGGACUGGAAAGAUGGAGCCAGCACUGGCCCAGUGGUCAAGGAGUGGUUUGUGUACCCCGGUAACUCCCUGAAGCACCCAGACCUAGUUAGGCCUCUGCAGAUGACCGUUCAAGGGGGAACACCUAGCUUGGAAGUUCUGUGGCUGAGCCAAGAGCCAGCAGUGCAGGCCCAGCGCCUGGACACCUUGCUAGCCUGCUUCAACCUUUCCUCCUCAAGAGAAGAGCUGCAAGCAGUUGAGAGCCCGUUGAGAGCGCUGUGCUGCCUCCUGAUCUACCUCUUUGUCCAGGUGGACACUCUUUCCCUGGAAGAUCUGCAUGCAUUUAUCGCUCAGGCCUUGUGCCUCCAAGGAAAAUCAACCUCCCAGCUCAUGCACUUACAGCUGGAUUACAUUAACUCCAGAGCUGUGCAGCUGGGAUCCCUCCUCGUCCGUGGCCUCACCACAUUGGUACUAGUCAAUAGCGCAUGUGGCUUCCCCUGGACAACAAGUGAGUUUAUGCCCUGGAAUGUGUUUGAUGGCAAGCUUUUCCAUCAGAAGUACCUGCAGUCUGAAAAGGGAUAUGCCGUGGAAGUUCUUUUGGAACAAAAUAGAUCGUGGCUCACCAAGUUCCACAACCUGAAGGCAGUGGUCUGCAAGGCCUGCUCCAAGGAGAACCGGCGCAUCGUAGGCAGAACGCAUUGGGACUCUCCUUACACAGGGAGGCAAGGGAGACAGGGCUACAGCUCCUACAGGACAGACUCCACACAUGGCCAUUCUGGGCAGUCAUGGAGAAACCAGGGUUCAGGGGGCAGACAGCAUGAGCGUAACCACUGGAGAAGAUACUAGAUGCUGUACAGAAGAGUGUGGAAACAGGAUCAAUGUCCAGACUCUGCCCUCCGGUCUCAGCAACAAGGACAGCAACUGGGGCAACCCUUUAAAGGAAGGAAAAUUGCUUUUCAGAGGUUUCUCCUACACAAACUAUAAAAAUAUCCCAUUGGUUUGUUUCAGAGGUUGCUCCUGACUCCAUGAUCCAGAACACUUGACACUAUCAUUGAGAAUGCUCUCCUGACCUUAGCAGGAGUCUAACUCCAAACAUUUUCUUACUAUUAAAUUGUGAAAAUGUUUCCUCAAGUCAUUAGUCUUUGAACUCAUGAUGUCUUCUUAUUUUCCUGUUACUGUGAAAAGGCACUGUGAACAAAGCAACUUACAGAAGAGAGCAUUUGAUUUGGGUCUUAGAGUUCCAUAGGGUGGUAGAGCCUCGGACCAUCAUGUUGGGGUAUGUGACAGGAGCCAGGCGAGGACGAGCCAACUGGGAAUGGCUCAGGGUUUUGAAACUUCAAAGCCCACCCCCCAAGUGACACACCUCCAUCAGCAAAGCCACACCUCCUCCAGUAAGGCCACUCCUCCUAGUCCUUCCCACCAACUGGAGACCAAGCUUUCAAACAUACUAGCUUAUGGGGCCAUUCUCAUUCAGACCACCAACCAUGAUAUCUAAUAGCUAUGCAAUCUGUCAGAAAUUACUUUUUCAUUAGAAAAUCUAACAAAAGUAAGUAUUCAUCUAUUUUUUUUUCUUGAUCCACAAAGUAUUUGGAUAGAAAAAAAAAAGCAACUAAAUAAAUUCUUGCUCUCUUGUGGGCGAGUUGGUUCUGCUUGGAGGAAACCUGGCUCAGCGGUUAAGAACAGGGUCUGCUCUUCCAGAUUCCCCUCACCCACACGGUGGCUCACAACUAACUGUCUGAAACUCCAGUUCCAGGGGAUCGAAAGCCUCUUCUGGCCUCUGUGAGAGGCAGACACACAGUGAUGCCCAGACAUGCACACAGGCAAAACACCCAUAAAGAUGAAAUAAAUAAGUUUAAAAAAAAAAAGAAUUUUUUUUUUUAAAAGAAGCAUAGUGGGUUAAGCUUAAAAAGUAAGAUCCUCUUUGAGGUUCUUAUCCAUCUCCACUGGGGAUCCAAGAGUAUCUGUGCCUGUCCAGGGCCCUUAUGGCCCUGCCGUAUCUCUGGGGACACUGAGUUCCGUCAGGAGAUGCAAGCACUUUGGUCACUGGAAGAUGUAUCCUUUCAGUGCUCCUGUCUAAGAUUUUAAUAACGCUUCUAAAAAUGUACCUUGUCACCUUUACGCUGACAGUUUUCCAGACCACUGGCUCAACCAUGCUGUGCAGAGAGAGGCCUUGCGUUUCUCCUUGAGAUUCUUGUGUUUACCAGAAAGGUAUCUCGCCUGCAUUUGAACAUGGUUGUAUUUGUUCAGCUUCCUUCUGCUCCUGCAGGACUUAAGCAUAGUGUGUCUGCAGAGCUUGUAGCUGCCAUGACUUUGCUGCCUAGUUUGGCUCUUCUGGUCCUUCCCUCGAAUACCGUCCUCUUCAAACACUGCUGCCGUUAGAAAUCCUGUUUCCUUGCUGUCUACUUGUGUAACUUUUAAUUCAGAUUCUGAUCUCUUAAGUUGAAAGUCUAUUUCUAUGAAAGUUGUUUUCCGUCAUGGAAACUGCAUCCUGACACUUGUCAAUAAAAUGCAUGAGUACGUCAGUCACAAGUUUAAAUAGGCCACUGUGUUGAUGGAAUAUUUAUCACCUUUAGAGCUUUCCCAGUGACAGCAUUGCUUACGCUGUUUCCCAGUCAAGUCUUGGGAUAGAAUUUCCACAUAUACAAUAAAAUAAAAAUACAUUUUUAAACUCA
Molecule: RNA transcript, 5831 nt
Organism: Mus musculus (house mouse)
Lineage: Eukaryota; Metazoa; Chordata; Mammalia; Rodentia; Muridae
Gene: Fam120b
Gene name: family with sequence similarity 120, member B
Exons: 11
Source: RefSeq, marked validated